RNAcentral lists this small RNA (125 nucleotides) under Marmota monax (woodchuck). The record is from RNAcentral. Lineage: Eukaryota; Metazoa; Chordata; Mammalia; Rodentia; Sciuridae.
GCCGGGUGCAGUGGUGCACACCUGUAAUCCCAGCAGCUGGAGAGGCAGAGGCAGGAGGAUCCCAAGUUCAAAGCCAGCCUCAGCAAAAGUGAGGCACUAAGUAACUUAGUGAGACCCCGUCUCUA